UAGGGAAUCUUCCGCAAUGGGCGAAAGCCUGACGGAGCAACGCCGCGUGAGUGAUGAAGGUCUUCGGAUCGUAAAACUCUGUUAUUAGGGAAGAACAAAUGUGUAAGUGACUAUGCACGUCUUGACGGUACCUAAUCAGAAAGCCACGGCUAACUACGUGCCAGCAGCCGCGGUAAUACGUAGGUGGCAAGCGUUAUCCGGAAUUAUUGGGCGUAAAGCGCGCGUAGGCGGUUUUUUAAGUCUGAUGUGAAAGCCCACGGCUCAACCGUGGAGGGUCAUUGGAAACUGGAAAACUUGAGUGUAGAAGAGGAAAGUGGAAUUCCAUGUGUAGCGGUGAAAUGCGCAGAGAUAUGGAGGAACACCAGUGGCGAAGGCGACUUUCUGGUCUGUAACUGACGCUGAUGUGCGAAAGCGUGGGGAUCAAACAGG
RNAcentral lists this ribosomal RNA (429 nucleotides) under Actinomycetes bacterium. RNAcentral describes it as "Actinobacteria bacterium partial 16S ribosomal RNA". It matches the Rfam family "Bacterial small subunit ribosomal RNA", at positions 355 to 776 of the family's 1533-position model. Lineage: Bacteria; Bacillati; Actinomycetota; Actinomycetes. The record is from RNAcentral.